GCUUAACCGAGGAAUUGCAUCGGAAACUGUUUUUCUUGAGUGCAGAAGAGGAGAGUGGAACUCCAUGUGUAGCGGUGGAAUGCGUAGAUAUAUGGAAGAACACCAGUGGCGAAGGCGGCUCUCUGGUCUGCAACUGACGCUGAGGCUCGAAAGCAUGGGUAGCGAACAGGAUUAGAUACCCUGGUAGUCCAUGCCGUAAACGAUGAGUGCUAAGUGUUGGGAGGUUUCCGCCUCUCAGUGCUGCAGCUAACGCAUUAAGCACUCCGCCUGGGGAGUACGACCGCAAGGUUGAAACUCAAAGGAAUUGACGGGGGCCCGCACAAGCGGUGGAGCAUGCGGUUUAAUUCGAAGCAACGCGAAGAACCUUACCAGGUCUUGACAUCUAGUGCCAUCCUAAGAGAUUAGGAGUUCCCUUCGGGGACGCUAAGACAGGUGGUGCAUGGCUGUCGUCAGCUCGUGUCGUGAGAUGUUGGGUUAAGUCCCGCAACGAGCGCAACCCUUAUUAUUAGUUGCCAGCAUUAAGUUGGGCACUCUAAUGAGACUGCCGGUGACAAACCGGAGGAAGGCGGGGAUGACGUCAAGUCAUCAUGCCCCUUAUGACCUGGGCUACACACGUGCUACAAUGGGCAGUACAACG
This 637-nucleotide ribosomal RNA is filed under the name uncultured bacterium. RNAcentral's name for it is "bacterial SSU rRNA". It matches the Rfam family "Bacterial small subunit ribosomal RNA", at positions 607 to 1244 of the family's 1533-position model. The record is from RNAcentral.